Molecule: long non-coding RNA, 212 nt
Filed under: Fukomys damarensis (Damara mole-rat)
Lineage: Eukaryota; Metazoa; Chordata; Mammalia; Rodentia; Bathyergidae
Description: lncRNA (ENSFDAG00000025380.1)
Source: RNAcentral
UCUCCACUCAGGCUUGAGUGUUCUUUCCUUUCUCAAUCCUCACUCCCCAACUCAGGCUGUUUCAUGCUGUGACAGCUGGACCACCACAAGAGGCACCCAAACAGGGACCUGAGUAUCAAGGGAUCCAGUGAAGGGCACCACAGAGAAGAACGAGGCCUCAACAAAAAGGGACAUGAUGGAGCACAUUGGUUCAUCAUGUGGAUCAUCCUGAC